Molecule: ribosomal RNA, 505 nt
Filed under: uncultured bacterium
Lineage: Bacteria
Description: partial 16S ribosomal RNA
Rfam family: Bacterial small subunit ribosomal RNA
Source: RNAcentral
GACGAACGCUGGCGGCGUGCCUAAUACAUGCAAGUGGGACGCAAGGAAACACACUGUGCUUGCACACCGUGUUUUCUUGAGUCGCGAACGGGUGAGUAACGCGUAGGUAACCUGCCUAUUAGCGGGGGAUAACUAUUGGAAACGAUAGCUAAUACCGCAUAAUAUUAAUUAUUGCAUGAUAAUUGAUUGAAAGAUGCAAGCGCAUCACUAGUAGAUGGACCUGCGUUGUAUUAGCUAGUUGGUAAGGUAAGAGCUUACCAAGGCGACGAUACAUAGCCGACCUGAGAGGGUGAUCAGCCACACUGGGACUGAGACACGGCCCAGACUCCUACGGGAGGCAGCAGUAGGGAAUCUUCGGCAAUGGACGAAAGUCUGACCGAGCAACGCCGCGUGAGUGAAGAAGGUUUUCGGAUCGUAAAGCUCUGUUGUAAGUCAAGAACGUGUGUGAGAGUGGAAAGUUCACACAGUGACGGUAGCUUACCAGAAAGGGACGGCUAACUACGUG